This 491-nucleotide ribosomal RNA is filed under the name uncultured bacterium. RNAcentral's name for it is "partial 16S ribosomal RNA". It matches the Rfam family "Bacterial small subunit ribosomal RNA", at positions 29 to 507 of the family's 1533-position model. The record is from RNAcentral.
AGUGAACGCUGGCGGUAUGCCUAACACAUGCAAGUCGAACGGCAGCACGGUAAGCGCGUGCUCCUACGGGUGGCGGGUGGCGGGCGGGUGACGCGUACAUCGGCAUCUUCUAUUUCUGGGGGGAUAACGGAGGGCCGCUGAUGAUACCACCGCAUACGUCCUACGGCUGAAAUCAGAGGUUCUUCGCAGCUUUCGUGUUUCUAUGAGCUGAUGUCGGAUUACCUAGUUGGCUGGGUAAGGCCAACCAAGGCGACGAUCCGUAGCCGUUCUGAGAGGAUGAGCAGCCACACUGGAACUGAGACACGGUCCAGACUCCUACGGGAGGCAGCAGUGGGGAAUAUUCGACAAUGGGCGCAAGCCUGACCCAGCCACACCGCGUGAGUGAAGAAGGUCUUCGGAUUGUAAAGCCCUGUUGUUGGGAAAGAACAGAUGCGGGUGAAUACCCCGCUGUUCUGACGGUACCCAAAGAAUAAGCACCGGCUAACUUCGUG